RNAcentral lists this unclassified non-coding RNA (5078 nucleotides) under Haliotis rufescens (red abalone). RNAcentral describes it as "threonine--tRNA ligase 1, cytoplasmic-like, transcript variant X4". The record is from RNAcentral. Lineage: Eukaryota; Metazoa; Mollusca; Gastropoda; Lepetellida; Haliotidae.
UGGAGAUAUCUGGAAAGAAGCAGGCACGACGAUUUUGAUUAUAUAUCACGUUCUUCAAAUCAUGAUUUCCAGGAUAAAUUUGUUCCGCUUAGGAAAGAAGAUAGGACUCAACUAUGUCAGGGCCAUGGGAAUGAAAUCGAAGAAGAAGGGCUCAGCUGGAGGGGAUGGAGCCAACCCUGCUCGGCUGGAACCUCCGCCAGAGUUCAUUGCACACAGAGAACAACUGUGGGCCAAACUAAAGAAGGAGCAUGAGGAUUGGGUGGCAGCUCAAACUCCCCAGCCAAUCAAAAUCACUCUACCUGAUGGCAAGGUUGUUGAGGGAGAGUCAUGGAGAACUUCACCGUAUGAUGUUGCCAAGGGAAUCAGCCAGGGUCUUGCAGACAACACUGUGAUAGCUAAAGUAAACGGAGAAUUGUGGGAUCUCGACCGGCCACUGGAGAAGGAUGCAUCUCUGCAGUUACUCAAGUUUGAUGACCCAGAUGGUCAGUAUGUUUUCUGGCACUCCAGUGCUCACAUUCUGGGCGAGGCCAUGGAGUGCCACUAUGGCGGCCAUCUUUGUUACGGCCCACCUGUAGAGAACGGCUUCUACUAUGACAUGUUCCUGGAGGACAGACAAGUAUCCAGCAAUGACUUUCCCUGUCUUGAGGGCGUCGUCAAGCAGGUUGUCAAGGAAAAGCAGCCCUUUGAGAGGCUAGAAAUGAAGAAAGAAGAUCUCCUGAAGAUGUUUGAUUAUAACAAAUUCAAGCAGAGGAUUCUCAAUGAAAGAGUAACCACCCCUACCACCACUGUAUAUAAAUGCGGCCCUUUAAUUGAUUUAUGUCGUGGGCCUCAUGUACGACAUACUGGCAAGGUCAAGGCCAUGAAGAUAACCAAGAAUUCCUCCACCUACUGGGAAGGGAAGGCAGAUGCGGAGUCUCUACAGAGGAUCUACGGCAUCUCGUUCCCCGACAACAAACAGCUGAAGGAGUGGGAACACUUCCAGGCAGAGGCAGCCAAGAGGGACCACCGCAAAAUUGGAAAGGAACAAGAGUUAUUUUUCUUCCAUGAACUGAGCCCUGGAAGCUGUUUCUUUUUACCCAAAGGAGCUUUCAUAUAUAACACACUAGUAGAUUUUAUCAAGUCGGAGUACUUAAAGAGAGGUUUCCAGGAAGUGGUGUCACCCAACAUUUACAACAGCAAGUUAUGGGAGGUGUCUGGUCACUGGCAGCAUUAUGCUGAAAAUAUGUUCUCAUUUGAAGUUGAAAAGGAAACCUUUGCCUUGAAGCCAAUGAACUGCCCUGGCCAUUGUUUGAUGUUCGACCAUCGAAACCGGUCAUGGCGAGAGCUCCCACUCAGAAUGGCAGACUUUGGCGUCCUCCAUCGUAAUGAGUUGUCCGGAGCACUGUCCGGGCUGACCAGAGUGAGGCGGUUCCAGCAGGAUGAUGCCCACAUCUUCUGCAGAUUUGACCAGAUCAAGGAUGAGAUCCAGGGCUGCCUGGAGUUCCUGAAGCAUGUGUAUGGAGUGUUUGGGUUCAGCUUCCAGCUGAAGCUGUCCACCAGGCCGGAGAAGUUCCUUGGAGACAUCGAAGUCUGGAAUGAUGCUGAGAAGCAACUGUCUGAGAGUUUAAGCAAGUUCACUGACAAGUGGGAACUCAACCCUGGUGAUGGCGCCUUCUAUGGUCCCAAGAUCGACAUCACCAUCCUGGACGCCCUCCGUAGAGCCCACCAGUGUGCCACCAUCCAGCUGGACUUCCAGCUGCCGAACAGGUUCAACCUGGGAUACAUCAACGAGCAAGGAGAGAAAGACAAGCCUGUCAUAAUCCACCGUGCCAUCCUUGGAUCUGUGGAGAGAAUGAUUGCCAUCUUGUGUGAGAACUACGGUGGAAAAUGGCCCUUCUGGCUUUCCCCUCGCCAGUCUUGUGUCAUUCCUGUUGCACCUGCCUUCGAUGAAUACGCAAACGAGGUGAGGAGACAGAUUCACUCGGCUGGGUUUGUGUGUGAGACCGAUCUGGACACCGGAGCUACUCUCAACAAGAAAGUCAGGAAUGCUCAGCUGAGCCAGUACAACUUCAUCUUUGUUGUUGGUGAGAAGGAGAAAGAGAACAAGACUGUCAACGUGCGUACCCGAGACAACAAGGUUCACGGUGAACACGGCAUUGACCAUGUGAUCUCAAGGUUCACCCACUUCAAGACCAGCCGAUCCCCCGAUGCUGAGGAGACCUUCUAGACUCCACAAAUACAGCAGCACUGCUCUGUGCCCAAGGCAGAACAGUGACACUGUCCUGUGAACACUUCCAGUGAAUGUGAAAACUCAGAUAUAUUUGUUUCACUUGGGUAAAUUAUUUGCAGAUAACAGUGUUGUGUAAAGGAUAUGAUGUCACAUUGAAAUUAAACUCCAUUCAUGAAUGAUGAAUAGGACUGUAUUCUCUGUGUGAUGGGGACUUCAGGCAGUAAUACUACUGUAGACUUAGGUUCGUGUUUUCGUUCCUAGAUAUAGUUAUCACAAGGUUAUGAAGCACUCUAGUCUUACAUCUUUUGUAGAAAACCUCAUUGCCCAGUUGUAGAGAUAGAUGUGAUUAUUUCCAUAUUGAUCUUAUUUAUUUUCAUGACUCUUGUUCAUCUUUGUUAUUACCGAUACAUACUUUUAUGUAGAAUCGACAUCUACAACUUUUGUCUGGAAUGCAGAACAUUCUGUGAUAUGGAUCUUUCUGUUCAUUACGUUCAUAUCUAAACAUUUAGUUGACAUUUGACAGGUUGAGAACACCAAUAAUUGUACAAAAUAAAUUAUAAAGAUUCAUAAAGAUGUACUUGAAACGAUAUAACAGCUUAUGUUAACACAGGAUAGUACUGAAGUAAUCACAUUCAUGGUAAUUCCGAUAUGACCAUUGUUCCACUGUCAUAUCUUAUCUUCAGCCAGUUUUCUUCUUUGAGCGGAUGAGAUAGCCUAGUGGUUAAGGCCAUGUCACCCAACACCUAGGUUUGAUUCCUUACAUGAGUGGGGAGGUCGGGAACCUAGUGGUUAAGCAUUCGCUCGUCAGACCAGGGUUUGAUUCCCGACAUGGGUACAAUGUGUGAAGCCCUUUUUCUGGUGCCCCCCACCGUGAUAUUGCUGGAAUUUUGCUAAAAGCAACGUAAAACCAUACUCACUCACUAACCUUCCAUGAGUAAAAUGUUUGAAGCCAAUUAUUCGUUUCUCCUCGCCAUGAUAUAGUUUGAAGUAUCACAAAGGUGGCACAAAAUAUUCACUACAAUGCCUGACCAAGACACUUGUUCCACAGUCUUCUGGAUGUAGUUUUUUCUCACGUCAUUGGUCACAUACGGUCACUUUGCCAAAUGAAAGUACAGAGUGAAACAAUAUAUGGCAACCAUUCAACCAGAAUAUUACCUGUAUCACACCUUGACACUUUCAUUUUGUUACAUGACAACCAUGCAUGAAUGCUUGUGAUAUGACUAGGGAAAUUGUGUGUAUUCUUAUCAGUGUGUACGGAGCAUAGCCACAAACGGAGGGCUAUAUGGGAAUCAAUGUGUAUGUGUGCUGUUAAAUUCAGCUAUAUAUGGUAUUACUUUGGAUUUGAAACUGUAGUAGCCGUGGUCAGAUGUUCUGAAGCAUGUAACUAACAGGAGGAACAUUUGGAUUAGCAUCUAGUGUACACUUAACGCUGUAAAGAUCAAGAAUAAUUGUGAGAAAUAUUAGACCCACACCCAGAAUGGGCCAUUUUGUGCAGAGCACAUGAUUCAGAUUCUGUGUACAUACUACAGAUAGAACUCUGCCUCUGAUUGAUUCAUCAAGUAGUUCCUUUGUUUCUUGCAAUAGCGGGUAAGUAGCAUAGUCCAGUGGUUAAAGCGUUCGCUUGUCACGCGGAAGACCUGUUUUCGAUUUCCUGGAUGGGAAUGUGUAAAGCACAUUCCUGGUGUUUUCCACGUUAAUAUUGCUGGAAUAUUGCUGAAAGCAGUGUAAAACCGUACUAAUUGCUAUAGCUGACGCACAAUGUGUGACAGCAGCAAUACGAUGUUAGAAUCGUAUUGUAUCCAACAAUUUCACACAGGCAAGUUGUUUCUUGUACAUUAUGUUUGCUGGGUGAUAAGGGACAAAGGGAAAAGUGAUAACAUGAACUAACAACAGUAGGUGCGAGAUAAACACAGCUCAACCAGUAGGCACGGUGAGCCAGGGCUCUGUUCCUCCAGCACUGUGAGCCAGGGCUCUGUUCCUCCAGCACUGUGUGCCAGGGCUCUGUUCCUCCAGUACUGUGUGCCAGGGCUCUGUUCCUCCAGCUCUGUGAGCCGGGGCUCUGUUCCUCCAGCUCUGUGUGCCAGGGCUCUGUUCCUCCAGCACUGUGUGCCAGGGCUCUGUUCCUCCAGCUCUGUGAGCCGGGGCUCUGUUCCUCCAGCUCUGUGAGCCGGGGCUCUGUUCCUCCAGCACUGUGAGCCAGGGCUCUGUUCCUCCAGCUCUGAGAGCCGGGGCUCUGUUCCUCCAGCUCUGUGUGCCAGGGCUCUGUUCCUCCAGCUCUGUGUGCCAGGGCUCUGUUCCUCCAGCUCUGUGAGCCGGGGCUCUGUUCCUCCAGCUCUGUGUGCCAGGGCUCUGUUCCUCCAGCACGGUGAGCCAGGGCUCUGUUCCUCCAGCACGGUGAGCCGGGGCUCUGUUCCUCCAGCACUGUGAGCCAGGGCUCUGUUCCUCCAGCACGGUGAGCCGGGGCUCUGUUCCUCCAGCACUGUGAGCCGGGGCUCUGUUCCUCCAGCUCUGUGAGCCGGGGCUCUGUUCCUCCAGCACGGUGAGCCGGGGCUCUGUUCCUCCAGCUCUGUGAGCCAGGGCUCUGUUCCUCCAGCUCUGUGUGCCAGGGCUCUGUUCCUCCAGCACGGUGAGCCAGGGCUCUGUUCCUCCAGCACGGUGAGCCAGGGCUCUGUUCCUCCAGCUCUGUGAGCCAGGGCUCUGUUCCUCCAGCACUGUGAGCCAGGGCUCUGUUCCUCCAACACUGUGUAGAACAAACUAUAUAGAUAAAGGAGGGUGGGGGCCUGUGCUAUUCCUUCAAUAUUGUAGUGAGAUGUGGUGAACUCUUUACCAUCUUGCAAUUGGUAUGCUCAAAUAAAAUGUUGUUCUUUAA